RNAcentral lists this ribosomal RNA (529 nucleotides) under uncultured Candidatus Saccharibacteria bacterium. RNAcentral describes it as "bacterial SSU rRNA". It matches the Rfam family "Bacterial small subunit ribosomal RNA", at positions 846 to 1397 of the family's 1533-position model. Lineage: Bacteria; Candidatus Saccharimonadota. The record is from RNAcentral.
GCGAAGCUAACGCGUUAAGUAUCCCACCUGUGUAGUACGAUCGCAAGAUAAAACAUAAAGGAAUUGACGGGGACCCGCACAAGCGGUGGAGCGUGAUCUUUAAUUCGAUGUAAACGAUAAACCUUACCAAGGCUUGACAUCUCGGGAAGGCUUCCGAAAGGAAUCUGUGCCUCGGGAACCCGAAGACAGGUGAUGCAUGGCCGUCGUCAGCUCGUGUCGUGAGAUGUUUGUUAAGUCCAUCAACGAGCGCAACCCUUGCAACCAGUUGGAUUUUUCUGGUAGGACUGCCCGGUAACGGGGAGGAAGGAGGGGAUGAUGUCAGGUCAGUAUUUCCCUUACGCCUUGGGCUGAAUCGCGCUACAAUGGCCGGUACAAUGCGAAGCGAAGCAGUGAUGUGAAGCAAACCGCACAAAGCCGGUCCCAGUUCGGAUUGGAGGCUGAAACUCGCCUUCAUGAAGUCGGAAUCGCUGUAAUCGCAGAUCAGCAUGUUGCGGUGAAUACGUUCCCGGGUCUUGUACACACCGCCCGU